Molecule: long non-coding RNA, 633 nt
Filed under: Zostera marina
Lineage: Eukaryota; Viridiplantae; Streptophyta; Magnoliopsida; Alismatales; Zosteraceae
Description: long non-coding RNA (ZMAR_LNC000391)
Source: RNAcentral
CAACAGCAAAUUAUUACUUCAAAGAUAUUAUCAGAAUUAAUGUUUAUAUCGACAGUUGGAAGGAUCAUGAAGAUGGUCGAAUCCGUGCAAUGGCUCUUUUAAUGGAAAGCAAAUUUAACAAGUAUUGGAGUUUGUGUGGUGUAUGUUUGACAAUUGGUUUAGUAUUGGAUCUACGAUACAAGAUGGACUUUGUAGAACUAGGAUAUGAAGAAAUUUAUGGCAAUUCAUAUUCUACAGAGCUGCUGAAAUUUCAAAACAAAUUGAAAGAGAUAUUUAAUUCAUAUCAGGUUGAGGUGGCCACUACUACAACUGAAGAGAAAGAAGGCAAUCCAACUUCAAAUGCUUUGAUUUGUACACUAGAUGAUGAUGAUGAUGAUGAUAAACUUAAUGAAAAAUGGUCGUCUAGGGCAGAAGAUCGUAGGAAAAUUGUAGGUAAUUCGCUUGAUGAAUUGGAGAAUUACUUGAAAGAAUCACUUCUGCAUGGAAGAGAAGAUGAUCCAACCUCAUUUGAUAUUUUAAAUUAUUGGAAUCACGACGGGUUGAAGUAUCCAACAUUACGAAAGAUGGCGAGAGAUAUCCUUGCUAUACCAGUUUCAACAAUUGCUUCAGAGAGCGCUUUUAGUUGGGGUCGAC